RNAcentral lists this ribosomal RNA (328 nucleotides) under Xanthomonas citri pv. citri. RNAcentral describes it as "bacterial SSU rRNA". It matches the Rfam family "Bacterial small subunit ribosomal RNA", at positions 100 to 426 of the family's 1533-position model. Lineage: Bacteria; Pseudomonadati; Pseudomonadota; Gammaproteobacteria; Lysobacterales; Lysobacteraceae. The record is from RNAcentral.
GAACGGGUGAGUAACGCGUGAGGAACCUGCCUCAAAGAGGGGGACAACAGUUGGAAACGACUGCUAAUACCGCAUAAGCCCACGGGUCGGCAUCGACCAGAGGGAAAAGGAGCAAUCCGCUUUGAGAUGGCCUCGCGUCCGAUUAGCUAGUUGGUGAGGUAACGGCCCACCAAGGCAACGAUCGGUAGCCGGACUGAGAGGUUGAACGGCCACAUUGGGACUGAGACACGGCCCAGACUCCUACGGGAGGCAGCAGUGGGGAAUAUUGCACAAUGGGGGAAACCCUGAUGCAGCGACGCCGCGUGGAGGAAGAAGGUCUUCGGAUUGU